This 238-nucleotide ribosomal RNA is filed under the name uncultured bacterium. RNAcentral's name for it is "partial 16S ribosomal RNA". It matches the Rfam family "Bacterial small subunit ribosomal RNA", at positions 15 to 236 of the family's 1533-position model. The record is from RNAcentral.
GAUCUGGCUCAGGAUGAACGCUGGCGGCGUGCUUAACACAUGCAAGUCGAACGAAGCACUUUAUUUGAUUUCUUCGGAAUGAAGAUUUUGUGACUGAGUGGCGGACGGGUGAGUAACGCGUGGGUAACCUGCCUCAUACAGGGGGAUAACAGUUGGAAACGACUGCUAAUACCGCAUAAGCGCACAGGGUCGCAUGACCUGGUGUGAAAAACUCCGGUGGUAUGAGAUGGACCCGCGU